Molecule: ribosomal RNA, 253 nt
Filed under: uncultured bacterium
Lineage: Bacteria
Description: partial 16S ribosomal RNA
Rfam family: Bacterial small subunit ribosomal RNA
Source: RNAcentral
UACGUAGGGGGCAAGCGUUGUCCGGAAUCAUUGGGCGUAAAGAGCGUGUAGGCGGCCCGGUAAGUCCGCUGUGAAAGUCCAGGGCUCAACCCUGGAAUGCCGGUGGAAACUGUCGGGCUAGAGUCCGGAAGAGGCGAGUGGAAUUCCUGGUGUAGCGGUGAAAUGCGCAGAUAUCAGGAGGAACACCAUGGCGAAGGCAGCUCGCUGGGACGGUACUGACGCUGGAGACGCGAAAGCGUGGGGAGCAAACAGG